AUGGCCUGGCAGCAAUCACCAUCGCCGCCGGCGGCGAACUCACCGCCACCACCCGCUCCCACCACCGUAAUCUCUCUCGACGAAGAUCUCCUCCGCGAGAUCUUCCUCCGCCUCCCCUCCCUCCCAAGCCUCGUCCGUGCCGCCCUCAGCUGCCGCACCUUCCUCAGCGCCGUCCGCUCGUCCCCCGCCUUCCGCCGCAGCUUCCGGGAGGCCCACCUGCCCCCUCUCCUGGGCCUCUUCUUCGACCCCGAAGUCCCCUCCAUCCCCGCCUUCGCCCCCCUCCGCCGCCGCUCCGACCCUGACCUCGCGGCCGCCGUCCGCGGCGCCGAUUUCUUCCUCACCCGCCUCCCCGCCGACGACGACACCUUCCCGGGGUGGGCCAUAGAAGGCUGCUGCGACGGCAACGUCCUCCUCCAGAACUUCAGCCUGGAGCAACUCGCCGUCUACAACCCCCUCACGCGGGCCCUGGAUCUCAUCCCCGUGCCGCCCGACAAGAUCUUCGAGGGCGCCCGCGGCGACGCCAAGUACCUUGGAUGCUACAUCCUCUCCUCCGAAGAGGGCGGCGAGCCGCUGCGCCUGGUCUACACCUGCCAUGACAAGUCGCGGGCGCGUGCCGCCAUCUUCUCGUCGGAGAGCAGGGAGUGGCAGAUCUUCCCGUGGUCGGAGGCUGUGACGCCAUUGCCUGAAGACGAGCACUGGCUUAAAGUUGGCACAAUGGUGAAUGGGUUCGUCUACUGGAUACACACAAAUGAAGCCUACAUCCUCGUGCUGAACACCGCGACACUACAUUUCUCCCAGAUGGAUUUGCCGCCGACCUUGGUGGCGCGCGAUCUCAUAUUCAGGGUUGGCGAGACCAAGGAUGGUAAGCCUUGCAUUGUCUGCCCAAUUGAUUUUGAGCUUUUUGUUUGGGUCCGGGGAGCCGAGGAUGAUGGCAUCGAGAGAUGGAUAUUCGACCAGAGGUUUCCAUUGGAGACGAUUGUCGAGGUCACCGAGAGUACACUUGUGGAACAUGGUGACCUGAAGGUUGUGGCCACUAUUGGUGGAUUUGUGUACUUCUCUACCAUGGAAACGUUCCUUGAUGGUCAUAAUCCUAGUUGGUUCAUGUCUCUAUGCAUGGAGACAGGGGAGCUGGCCACGCUCUUCCAGAGGAGAUUUGACGGCCAUCCCCAUCCCUACAUCAUGGCAUGGCCUCCUUGUUUGAUAGACAACCAGGUGCACCCUCAACUCGAAGGUGCUUGA
This 1239-nucleotide ribosomal RNA is filed under the name Triticum aestivum (bread wheat). RNAcentral's name for it is "partial small subunit ribosomal RNA". The record is from RNAcentral. Lineage: Eukaryota; Viridiplantae; Streptophyta; Magnoliopsida; Poales; Poaceae.